Molecule: ribosomal RNA, 497 nt
Filed under: uncultured bacterium
Lineage: Bacteria
Description: partial 16S ribosomal RNA
Rfam family: Bacterial small subunit ribosomal RNA
Source: RNAcentral
GAUGAACGCUGGCGGCGUGCCUAAUACAUGCAAGUCGAGCGAACAGACGAGGAGCUUGUUCCUCUGACGUUAGCGGCGGACGGGGGAGUAACACGUGGAUAACCUACCUAUAAGACUGGGAUAAGUUCGGGAAACCGGAGCUUAUACAGGAUAAUAUAUUUAACCGCAUGGUUCAAUAGUGAAAGACGGUUUUGCUGUCACUUAUAGAUGGAUCCGCGCCUCAUUAGCUAGUUGGUAAGGUAACGGCUUACCAAGGCAAGGAUGCGUAGUCGAUCUGUGAGGAGGAUCGCCCACACCGUAGGGGAGACACGGACCAGACGACUCCGGGACGGAGCAUACGUGAACCGUACGCUAUGGGCGAGAACGUGGCGGAAGAACUCGGAGUGAGAUAUGAAGAUCUCCUGCUCGUAAAACUCUGUUAUUAGUGAGGAACACAUUUGUAAGUCGCUAUGCACGUCUUGACGGUACCUGAUCAGAAAGCCCCGGCUAACUACGUG